Molecule: small nucleolar RNA, 107 nt
Filed under: Brassica napus (rape)
Lineage: Eukaryota; Viridiplantae; Streptophyta; Magnoliopsida; Brassicales; Brassicaceae
Also listed under: 1 other name
Description: Plant small nucleolar RNA R71
Rfam family: Plant small nucleolar RNA R71
About the family: R71 is a member of the C/D box family of snoRNAs containing the C (UGAUGA) and D (CUGA) box motifs. Multiple nearly identical copies of this snoRNA have been identified in Arabidopsis, and it is thought to function as a 2'-O-ribose methylation guide for 18S ribosomal RNA.
Source: Rfam by way of RNAcentral
AAACCAUGAUGAGGGCAUUGAGACCAAUAGCCCUUGAACCUUUCCCAUGCUUCACUGAAGCUCUCUAGACCUUUCUGUUGAAACCCGGAGAUUUCGUUCCUGAUCUU